UACGAAGGGUGCAAGCGUUACUCGGAAUUACUGGGCGUAAAGGGUGCGUAGGUGGUUUGUUAAGUCUGCUGUGAAAUCCCCGGGCUCAACCUGGGAAUGGCAGUGGAUACUGGCAAGCUAGAGUGCGGUAGAGGGUAGUGGAAUUCCCGGUGUAGCAGUGAAAUGCGUAGAGAUCAGCAGGAACACCCGUGGCGAAGGCGGCCCCCUGGGCCGAACCUGACGCUGAGGCGCGAAGGCUAGGGGAGCGAACGGG
Molecule: ribosomal RNA, 253 nt
Filed under: uncultured bacterium
Lineage: Bacteria
Description: partial 16S ribosomal RNA
Rfam family: Bacterial small subunit ribosomal RNA
Source: RNAcentral